GGAAUAUAAAAAUUUGUCUCUUAACUUUUGACUAAAAAAGCUAGGAACCGGCUCUUAAAUAAGAGUUUUAAGAGCCGGUUCUUAGCUUUUUUAAUUAAAAGUUAAUAGACAGUUUCUUAUAUUCU
This is a non-coding RNA of Brassica napus (rape), 125 nucleotides long. The record is from Rfam. NCBI's taxonomy places the organism in Eukaryota, Viridiplantae, Streptophyta, Magnoliopsida, Brassicales, Brassicaceae.